AUUGAACGCUGGCGGCAGGCCUAACACAUGCAAGUCGAGCGGCAGCGGGAAGUAGCUUGCUACUUUGCCGGCGAGCGGCGGACGGGUGAGUAAUGCCUGGGGAUCUGCCCAAUCGAGGGGGAUAACUACUGGAAACGGUAGCUAAUACCGCAUACGCCCUACGGGGGAAAGCAGGGGACCUUUUGGCCUUGCGCGAUUGGAUGAACCCAGGUGGGAUUAGCUUGUUGGUGAGGUAACGGCUCACCAAGGCGACGAUCCCUAGCUGGUCUGAGAGGAUUAUCAGCCACACUGGAACUGAGACACGGUCCAGACUCCUACGGGAGGCAGCAGUGGGGAAUAUUGCACAAUGGGGGAAACCCUGAUGCAGCCAUGCCGCGUGUGUGAAGAAGGCCUUCGGGUUGUAAAGCACUUUCAGCGAGGAGGAAGGGGAGUGAGCUAAUACCUUACUUCAUUGACGUUACUCGCAGAAGAAGCACCGGCUAACUCCGUGCCAGCCGCCGCGGUAA
Molecule: ribosomal RNA, 506 nt
Filed under: uncultured bacterium
Lineage: Bacteria
Description: partial 16S ribosomal RNA
Rfam family: Bacterial small subunit ribosomal RNA
Source: RNAcentral